AGUACUAGGAGUACACUGAAUAGUACACUUGACAGGUACCUGAACCAGAAAGGCUACGGCUAAGUAUCGUGCCAGCAGCAGCCGGUAAUACGUAGUGCGAGAGUUAUCCGGAAUUAUUGGUCGUAAAGCGCGCGCAGGCGGUUUCGUAAGUCUGAUGUGAUAGCACACGACUCAACCGUGGAGGGUCAUUGAAGACUGAGGAACCAGAGUGCAGAAGAGAAAAGCGGAAUUACAAGUGUAGCGGUGAAAUGCGUAGAGAUGUGGAGGAACACCAGUGGCGAAGGCGGCUCAAUGGUCUGUAACUGACGCUGAGGCGCGAAAGCGUGGGGAGCAAACAGGAUUAGAUACCCUGGUAGUCCACGCCGUAAACGAUGAGUGCUAAGUGUUAGAGGGUUUCCGCCCUUUAGUGCUGCAGCUAACGCAUUAAGCACUCCGCCUGGGGAGUACGGUCGCAAGACUGAAACUCAAAGGAAUUGACGGGGGCCCGCACAAGCGGUGGAGCAUGUGGUUUAAUUUGAAGCAACGCGAAGAACCUUACCAGGUCUUGACAUCCUGUGUCAACUUUAGAGAUAGAGCGUUCCCCUUCGGGGGACAGAGUGACAGGUGGUGCAUGGUUGUCGUCAGCUCGUGUCGUGAGAUGUUGGGUUAAGUCCCGCAACGAGCGCAACCCUUGAUCUUAGUUGCCAGCAUUUAGUUGGGCACUUUAAGGUGACUGCCGGUGACAAACCGGAGGAAGGUGGGGAUGACGUCAAAUCAUCAUGCCCCUUAUGACCUGGGCUACACACGUGCUACAAUGGAUGGUACAAAGGGCUGCAAGACCGCGAGGUCAAGCCAAUCCCAUAAAACCAUUCUCAGUUCGGAUUGUAGGCUGCAACUCGCCUACAUGAAGCUGGAAUCGCUAGUAAUCGCGGAUCAGCAUGUCGCGGUGAAUACGUUCCCGGGCCUUGUACACACCGCCCGUCACACCACGAGAGUUUGUAACACCCGAAGUCGGUGGAGUAACCGUAAGGAGCUAGCCGCCUAAGGUGGACAGAGG
Molecule: ribosomal RNA, 1036 nt
Filed under: Bacillus sp. (in: firmicutes)
Lineage: Bacteria; Bacillati; Bacillota; Bacilli; Caryophanales; Bacillaceae
Description: bacterial SSU rRNA
Rfam family: Bacterial small subunit ribosomal RNA
Source: RNAcentral